Molecule: long non-coding RNA, 5107 nt
Organism: Acinonyx jubatus (cheetah)
Lineage: Eukaryota; Metazoa; Chordata; Mammalia; Carnivora; Felidae
Exons: 7
Source: RefSeq, a predicted model, not a curated record
UUUUUUUAAUUGUUUUUUUCAACGUUUAUUUAUUUUUGGGACAGAGAGAGACAGAGCAUGAACGGGGGAGGGGCAGAGAGAGAGGGAGACACAGAAUCGGAAACAGGCUCCAGGCUCUGAGCCAUCAGCCCAGAGCCUGACGCGGGGCUCGACCUCACGGACUGCGAGAUCGUGACCUAGCUGAAGUCGGACGCUUAACCGACUGCGCCACCCAGGCACCCCUUGAUUCUGUUUUUUAAUGGCAGUGUAGUUGACAUACAAUUAGCUUCAGGUAUACAACAUAGUGAUUCAACACUACAUACAUUAGGAAAUGGUCAACACCAUAAAUCCACUACAGUCUGUCAUUAUACAGAGUUGUCACAGUAUUAUUAACUAUAUUCCCUAUGCUGUUCAGUGUAUCCUUGUGUCUUAUUUAUCAGUGGUCUUUGAUUCUUUUUUUUUUUUUUAAUUUUUUAACGUUUAUUUAUUUUUGAGAGAGAGAGACAGAGUGUGAGCGGGCAAGAGGUAGAGAGUGGGAGACACAGAACCCAAAGCAGGCUUCAGGCUCUGAGCUGUCAGCACAGAGCAUGACGUGGGGCUCAAACUCACUAACUGCGAGAUCAUAACCUGAGCUGAAGUCGGACGCUUAAGUGACUGAGCCCCCUGGGUGAUCUAGUGGUCUUUGAUUCUCAAACACACCUUUGCUGGGAGAGAGCCUAAAGCUGAGAGCAAUUUUCAUGGAGGACUAUUUGGUCCAUGGGUACAGAACACAUACGGAAACAACAAGGUAGAUUGUUCAAGGAAACUUAACUUCUUAUAAAGAAAGGGAUAGUUUAGCGUAUUAGCAGAACAUGACAUGAAUGUGAGUUCAUUGCAAGCAUAUCUAACAGUAGUAGGAUUUAUAGAAAUAUGUUCAUUGUCUAAUGUUCCAUAAGGAUAUGUGAUACAUCCAAAAUAAGGAGCAUAAAAUUAAGAAUCAGAAGACUUGGACUCAGGCAGAUUCAGCAACUGUCAGGUACAUGGCCUCAGCAAAUUAUUUACCAUUUCAGACACAGCCCAAGUAUCCCUCCUAUAAAAUGAGACUUAAAAGUGCCUGCUCCCACCCUACCUGACAAGUACUAUCAAAUUUGAGGAAUGAAUGAACUAUCAUAAAUUGAAGCAUUUGAAUCAUACCAUUAUCAUACAGAGCUAAAGAAUGUUUUUAAACACUUAAGCACCUUUAAAAAAAAAUUUUGAGCACCUACUUGGGACAAAGCACCGUUCUAGGUGCUGUGAAUUACAGAGGCGAGUAAGCCCUUCAAAGAGCUUUGUUUGUGAUUUUGAAAAUUAAAAUAAUAAAGUUACGGGUCAGACUGAAGGCUGAGGAUUCAUAUCGUGAAGAUUUUUCAAAUAUUCAAAGUUGGAAGGACCUACAUCCAAACAAACAGGAAAAUAAGCAAUUUCCUUUGGAGAGGUCCUUUUAGAUAAAGUAUUUGAAAAAUUCCAAAUAAGUACAAUGCAGUAGACACCCCUAAGAAUCAAUAUUGGAAAUCUGUCUUGAGCAAUAUGUAAAGCAAAUAAAUACAUGGGAGUUGAAUCAUGUGAUGUUUUUGUUGCUGUUGUUUUUAAUCUCAAAAGGACUGCUGACCUCUGCCGACACGCCUGUAUUUAGGAGAGGCACUUGCAGGAGCAAUCAGGUUUUCUUUACAAGUAAACUUUGGUUUCUACAAGUAGAAGACAGUAGAAUGAAUAGAAGCGCUUAUCUCCUUAGACUGUAACAAAAUGUUAACACAAAGGGGAGGGAUGUAACGCGGAUACAACUGGGAGAGGAGCAUCAGGGGAAGAAGAAAGAUUGCAACAAAUUUCUGGAGGUCAAGGAGAGGCUUGGCAAAGAGAACAGAGCAGACGAUGGUUAAUUUUAUGUGUGAACAGGGCUGUGGCGCCCAGGUGUUUGGGCAAACUCUAGUCUCUAUGCUGCUCUGAAGGUAUUCUGUAGAUGGGAUUACUAUUUCUUACCAUUUGACUUUAAGUAAAGGAGAUUACCCUCCAUAAUUCGAGGGGUGGUGUAUGUGCCUGGGCGUGUUAAUCCAAUCAGUUAAAAGCUUUAAUAGCAAAAUCUGAGGUCUCCCAGGGAAGGAAUUCUGCCGCAAGACUGUAACAUAGAAGUCCUGCCUGAGUCUCCAGCCUGCUGGCCGGCCCUGGGGAUUUAGGACUCCGAGACUUGCAACAUCAAGUCUUACCUGAAUUUCGAGCCCGUCGGCCUGAUCUACGGAUUUUGGACUUUCCAGCCCCUACAGUCGUGCGUGAGAGUCAGUGUCUCAAAAUAAAUCUAUCUCUAUCUCUGUCUCUCUCACUGUACCUACAUUUGUAUCUGUAGCUAAUUUUAUAUCUGUCAUUUACAUCUCUAUCUCUUUGGUUCCUUCCUCUGGAGAAGAACCCUGGCUGAUAGACACUGAGAGGUAAGAGCCUAGAACAUGUAGGAGAAAACUUUGGGAGAGUGGAAGGGUGGGAGGACGUCAGAGCUGCCUGGCAGUGUCCCAGGAAAACCCCUGCCUCACCGGGCACCUGCAGCUGAGAACGGGACUCCAAAGGGGGUGAAAAGGAGAGCGGUUCACUGGGCUGGCGGAGACUCCUCGUGUUUCUCUCCCCUCCCCACCCCUCGCCUUAGGUCCGUGCCCGAUGCUAGAAACCCCAAAUUUUACUUUUACAAGUCAAACUGUGCUAUAUGUAAGAUAUUAACAUUAGGGGAAGCUGGGUGAGGGACAUAUACAGAAAUUCUAUUUUUUGGUAACCUUUCUGUAAAUCUAAAAUGAGUUCAAAAUAAACCGUUAAAAAAAAAACUGGCAAGAACUAGAAGGGCUAGAAUAUGUGCCAACAUACUGUGCAGUAAAACCUUCUCCUCGGGCAUUUUAAGCACCAUUCCCGCCUCCCACCCCUGCCGCCAAACUCUUAACUAAAAGUCGAGCGCCUUCUUUUUUGUUUUUAAAAUUUUUUAUCUUUAAAAUUUUUUUAACAUUUGAGAGAGAGAGAGAGAGAGAGAGAGAGAAAACGAGAGCAUGAGUGGGGGAGGGGCAGAGAGAGAAAGAAGGAGACACAGAAUCCGAAGCAGGCUCCAGGCUCUGAGCUGUCAGCACAGAGCCCGACGCGGGGCCUGAACUCACGAACCUCGAGAUCAUAACCUGAGCUGAAGUCGGAGGCUUAACCGACUGAGCCACCCUCAUGCGCCCAAAUCUAGCCCCUUCUCAGUGUGGUUUCCAUUUUGGACGGGGGGCGGGGGGAGUACCAUGGCUUUUCAAUAUAAUCAUUUCUCCGUGCUACUUUAUUUCUUUAACUGAUACCUGGAUCAUUUUCACAAAAACUUAAAAGGAGAAAACGGAAAAGUUGGUUCACUUAGACAUGAAGGAGAUUGUACACACUUCACUGAUGAAGAAAAAAGCCUAUAAUACUAGGACUAGAGGGGAACAAUUUCAAAUGCAGAUGUAGAGGCUCAAGUAGCAAGACCAUUUGGAAGUUUCUGAAUUGACUUCUUUGUCAGAAAGCAAAGGAAGUUUUAAUGGCAAUUUAGCAACCCCUUCCCCUCCCCCAGAUGCUAUGGAUCUUGCCAGCAUACAAAUGCCAGAUCCCUGUAAAUUUAAGUGUAAAAAUGGAGCAAACGCUUCAAUGGGUUGGGACACAGACCCAACUCGACCCCUUCCCUUGGCUCAUCUUGACCCCUUCCCUCCGCUGAGGGGUGAGAUCUGUGCAGUAUUCAGUGCUACUAUGGACCAGCAAACAAUGCGUUGUGAACUACGUAAAGGAAAGAAACCUCUUACUGCUAGCACCGAUAUGAAUACGCGAAUCACGAUCCGUACAGCACAUCACUGAUACUUGUGAACAGCUUCCUCUUCUAUCAUGCUCUGAUCCUUAGCGUCUCCUGCAAUAAUAUCAACUUGCCCUAGGAAUAAGAAUGAAAUUUAGCAGCAUGAUGACGUCUUCUAUUACAGCAUUUUCUUGUCCCUAGUUUCAUUAUCGCUGUAUUCUUUCCCUUGGCAAAUGUACUCCAUGGCCUGCUAAAACGUCUAGCAUUGUGAACUCGCCAUAUGCCUAGCAAGCAAGAGUGCCCCCACAUCUCUCCCUGCACUUGCUGCCUCUCGGAAUCCACAGACGGGGCCUGCCAAUUGGGCCUUCUUCAGGCUGUGUGCAAUAUACCAAGGUAUCCUAUUUAUUGAUCUUCCCCAUUCUGUCCAAACUGGUGUCUAUAAGAAGAACGUCAAAUCAGCCCGAUGGAACACAAGACAUGUCUGACAAUGCUGUAGAGCCUUUCCCAGUACCUCUGAGGAGGACACAUGCUCGGGGAAGUAAGAACAGGUGCUUGCAACUCUGUGGCUGAUAGAGUGGAGUUGAGGGUAAAGUACAAAAGCCCCACAGAGUCGAGUGCCCUUGGCUGAAUGUUUUCCUUGGUCAGGAUCACUCCAUGAAUUCCUACUCAAACACAGGUGGUGCAUGGUUCCUACUUUGCUUCUCCUAGAGUUCUAACUGCUUGGAUGCCACAGGUUACAUGAUCCCCGGAGUCAAGCAAUUAUUUCAGACAGAGAAUUCAAGCCUGCCCUGUGCUUGUGUUUUCUAUAAAUGAAGAGAAAGGUUUACUGAGAAUCCACUAUAUGGAAAUAAAUGCUAAGGGCAGAUGGAAUGAGAAACUCGAAGAUGCAGCCUUUCAGCAGCCUACUACAGCUACCCAAGUAUGUCCAGUGGAAGGCGGAGUGUGAUGUGUGCUCCGGAGAAACCCUCCAUCCAAAAACCCCGUGAGUGAGGAAGGAAGGCAGGUCACCUGGCUGAGCUCUUCCCCUGCUGCCACCUAGGAGAGAGUCUGGUUGAAUCCAUCCAGAAGAACUGGGAAACCAGAGCUCCACAACCUACCUCUCCCAAUCACCACCACCCCCCACCACCAGAAAUUGCUUCUUCUGCUCUGAAGUAUGAAACCUACUGGUUACUCUUAUUUGGCAUCUGUGAUCAGACACAUUGUAUUUGAGUUCUUGGAUACAACACAGAUGAAAGAAACAGCCACAAUAGGAACUUAAGCAGCCAACUAGCAACCUGGUGAGUGAGUACUCUCCUUACAAAUAAAAGUUACCAACCAGAAAUUUUUACAACUUGCUCCCUAUAGCUAGGA